RNA transcript from Phoenix dactylifera (date palm), 2098 nucleotides. It is a transcript of the gene named SKP1-interacting partner 15 pseudogene, with no coding region annotated. The record is from RefSeq and is a predicted model, not a curated record. NCBI's taxonomy places the organism in Eukaryota, Viridiplantae, Streptophyta, Magnoliopsida, Arecales, Arecaceae.
GCCCCUGCAACCCCAGCACCAGCCACUUUACGUCUUUACCUACCUUUCUUCCCACCAUCGCCCCCGCCCGCCAGAAGAAGAAACAUAGGCGACUCAAAGACUUUUCCGACCAUGCCCCCGGCUCAUGUGCCUCGCGUGUAUGACUUCCCCCCGCCGCCGCCGCCGCUGCUGGAGGCGGAGGCGGCUGAACAGGAAGAGGAGGAGUCGGGUUCUCUGCCGAUGAGCCCCCCCAUCCUGCUCCUCCCGCCGGACGCCCUCCACAACGUCCUUGGCCGCCUCCCCCUCCUCCAGGCCCUCGCCUGCCGCUCCGUCUGCCACCUCUUCCGCGACGCGAUCUCCUCCCCGUCCUUCCUCGCCGCCCUCCCCCCGGUCCGCCUCCUCGCCCUUCGCCACCCCCGUGCGGCCGCUUCCACCCCCUCCCUCCACGCCUUCGACACCGCCCUCGGUCGUUGGCUCCGCCUACCCCUCUCCUUCCUCCCCUUCCCCUCCUCGUCCCCCGUCACCGCUUCCCCCUCCCUCCUCUACCUCUGGGCUGACACUUCCGCCGCCCCCUCCGCCGUAGGCGACCCUAAGAAUCCCAAGUCCCUCAUUCUCUGUAACCCGCUCGCCCGCUCGUACCGCCUCCUCCCCCCACUCGGCUCCGCCUGGUCCCGCCACGGCACCGUCCUCGCCGGCCCCGGCGGCGCCGCCCUCGUCCUCACCGAGCUGGCCGCCCUCGCCUACGCCCCCGGCGCCGACCGCUGGCUCAAGUUCUCCCUCAACCUCCCUUCCAAGCCCCGGAGCCCGAUCCUGAUGGGCGGCGCCGUCUACACCCUCUGCGACGUCGGCACCCCGUGGCGCAGCCAGUGGAAGCUCUUCUCCUGCGGGCUCCACGACCUCGGCGGGCCCCGCAGGUGGGCCCCGAUCGAGCGGCAUGAGUGGGGGGACGUCUUCGACAUCCUGAAGCGGCCCCGGCUGCUCCCCGGGGCGGGCGGCGGCCGGAUCCUGAUGAUCGGAGGGUUGCGGUCGUCGUUCGCGAUCGACGCGCCGUGCUCGACGGUCCUGAUCUUGAGGUUGGAUCUGGCGACGCUGGAGUGGGACGAGGCAGGAAGGAUGCCGCCGGAGAUGUACCGGUGCUUCGGCGGCGUGGUGCCGGGGCCGGUGGCUGCCGCGGCGGCCGUUGCAGGGGGGAAUAACAAGGUGAAGGUGUUCGGAGGGGACGGGAGGGUUUGGUUCUCGGGGAAGAGGGUGAGGGGAAAGCUGGCGAUGUGGGAGGAGGAGGCGAUUGGGAAGAGUCGCGGCGGUGUGUGGAGGUGGCUGGACGGUUUGCCGGGUUACAAUGAGGGGGUGUACAGAGGGUUCGUGUUCGAUGCCGGAUUCACUGCCAUGCCCUGAAGUCAUCGUCAAACUAACUGGACUUGUGAUUUGGUCGUAGCCGGGUGACAAGCUAUUCUGAAUUUUAUCUAUACUUCUUUGUGGACUCUUGACUCCUUGGGAGCCCUCUCAAGCCAUGCUGCUUAUUUGUAUCAAAACAAACAUGAGGAAGUGGGAAAAUGCACAUGGAAUAUCAGUGAUGGACGAAGCAACAAUUACAUCACAAGUGAGUCAUUGCAAGUGGCAAUGUGACAGUUCUCUUGCUUUCUUAUGGCUUUUGCUCGCAUGAACCUGUUUGAUGUUCUGCAUGAUAAUUUCUUGAGACUGAUGAGAGUGGAGAUAAACAGUUAUAUCAUUCAGGUUAAUAUUGAGACUUGAGACCCGGAUAAAUCUGUAUGUAUGUCAUUUUCUUUAAUAGAUCGUUAAACUUAAAGUUGUUUAGGUCUUAGGAAAAGGAGUGAUUGCCAAGCAACUAAUUAAUCAUUUAAUUGGUGAGCCCAUUUCAAUUGCCAGAAGACUAAAUGACAGGUGACGUAUAUUUGCACGCCAAGAUUUCGUGGUUGUCCAACUAAAUUCCACUCUGGUGUCACUGUCGCGUGGGCAUGCCAAUUUUAUCAUAUUUGUUCAGGCUUUUAGCCAGGCAUCAUCAAUCACUAAGAAUUUGGGUGUGAUAGAGCUGUCCGAUUUUUUCAUGGAUCUUGAUACUUGUGAUAGGGAAUGUUCUAAGAUGUGCCGAUUGGGUUCU